Molecule: ribosomal RNA, 507 nt
Filed under: uncultured bacterium
Lineage: Bacteria
Description: bacterial SSU rRNA
Rfam family: Bacterial small subunit ribosomal RNA
Source: RNAcentral
AUGGCUCAGGAUGAACGCUAGCGACAGGCUUAACACAUGCAAGUCGAGGGCAUCACGGGAGUAGCAAUACAACUGGUGGCGACCGGCGCACGGGUGAGUAACGCGUAUGCAACCUACCUAUCAGAGGGGAAUAACCCGGCGAAAGUCGGACUAAUACCGCAUAAAACAGGGGCACCGCAUGGUGAUAUUUGUUAAAGAAAUUCGCUGAUAGAUGGGCAUGCGUUCUAUUAGGUAGUUGGCGAGGUAACGGCUCACCAAGCCGACGAUGGAUAGGGGAACUGAGAGGUUGGUCCCCCACACUGGUACUGAGACACGGACCAGACUCCUACGGGAGGCAGCAGUGAGGAAUAUUGGUCAAUGGGCGGGAGCCUGAACCAGCCAAGUCGCGUGAAGGAAGAAGGAUCUAUGGUUCGUAAACUUCUUUUGCAGGGGAAUAAAGUGCAGGACGUGUCCUGUUUUGUAUGUACCCUGAGAAUAAGGAUCGGCUAACUCCGUGCCAGCCGCCGC